RNAcentral lists this ribosomal RNA (433 nucleotides) under uncultured bacterium. RNAcentral describes it as "partial 16S ribosomal RNA". It matches the Rfam family "Bacterial small subunit ribosomal RNA", at positions 29 to 507 of the family's 1533-position model. The record is from RNAcentral.
AACGAACGCUGGCGGCAUGCCUAACACAUGCCAGUCGAACGAGACCUUCGGGUCUAGUGGCGCACGGGUGCGUAACGCGUGGGAACCUGCCCUUAGGUUCGGAAUAACUCCCCGAAAGGGGUGCUAAUACCGGAUAAUGUCUUCGGACCAAAGAUUUAUCGCCUUUGGAUGGGCCCGCGUUGGAUUAGCUAGUUGGUAGGGUAAAAGCCUACCAAGGCGACGAUCCAUAGCUGGUCUGAGAGGAUGAUCAGCCACACUGGGACUGAGACACGGCCCAGACUCCUACGGGAGGCAGCAGUGGAGAAUAUUGGACAAUGGGCGAAAGCCUGAUCCAGCAAUGCCGCGUGAGUGAUGAAGGCCUUAGGGUUGUAAAGCUCUUUUACCCGGGAUGAUAAUGACAGUACCGGGAGAAUAAGCUCCGGCUAACUCCGUG